CGGUAAUUCCAGCUCCAACAGUGUAUAUUAAUACUGCUGCGGUUGAAACGUUCGUAGUUGGGAAUUUGUUGUCUAUUAUUGGUCUAUCCUAGUGGUCAGUACUGUAUAUGAAUGCAGCAUUGUCUUGAUUAUUUUUCUACACUUGACUGUGUAUUAUGUUGAAUCAAUCCAUAUACUUUGAAGAAAUGAGAGUGUUUCAAGCAAUUUUAUUCAGGGAUAUAUUAGCAUGGAAUAACACAUUACGACUUCAAUUUGUGUCUAUUGGUUGCCGAGAUGGGGUAAUAAAGAGGAGGAUAAUUGGUGGCAUAUAUAUUGCACAGUCAGAAGUGAAAUUUUUGGAUUUUUGCAAGAUAACCAAUUGCGAAAGCAUUUGUCAAGAGUGUUUUUAUUGAUCAAGAACGAAAGUUAAGGGAUCGAAGGCGAUCAGAUACCGUUGUAGUCUUAACCGUAAACUAUGUCGCCUAGAAACUGGCGGGUAUAUAGUAUCAUCCCGUCAGCAACUUAAGAGAAAUUACAGUUUUUGGAUUCCGGGGGGAGUAUGAUCACAAGAUUGAAACUUAAAGGAAUUGACGGAAAGGCACCACCAGGAGUGGAGCGUGCGGUUUAAUUCGACUCAACACUGGAAAAUUUAUCAGGUCCGAACAUAGAAAUGAUUGACAGAUUGGCUGGCUUUUCUUAAUUCUGUGGGUGGUGGUGCAUGGCCGUUCUUAGUUGGUGGAGUGAUUUGUCUGGUUAAUUUCGAUAACGACCGAGAUCUUGACCUACUAAAUAGAUGCAGGAUGUAUAAACAAUCGUGUGAACUUCUUAGAGGAAACAUUUGUGUAAAGUAAAAGGAAGAUUAAGGUAAUAACAGGUCUGUGAUGCCCCUAGAUGUCUUGAGCUGCACGCGCGCUACACUGAAGCACUUCACAAGGAAUUUAUCUGAUUUGAAAAAAGUGGGAAAUCUUAUCCCUGUGCAUCGUGAUGGGGCUUGUUUAUUGUAAUUAUUGAAUAUUAACGAGGAAUCCCUAGUAAGUGUAUAUCAUCAAUCUGUUCUGAUUAAGUCCCUGCCCUUUGUACACACCACCCGUCGCUCCUACCGAUCGAGUGAUCCGGUGAACACCUAAGACAUUGAGAAGCAAUCGAAAAAUUACACUCAUAGAAAUGCGAGUGAGUCUUAUCACUUAGAGGAAGGAGAAGUCGUAACAAGGUAGCCG
This 1196-nucleotide ribosomal RNA is filed under the name uncultured eukaryote. RNAcentral's name for it is "SSU rRNA". It matches the Rfam family "Eukaryotic small subunit ribosomal RNA", at positions 577 to 1805 of the family's 1831-position model. The record is from RNAcentral.